GUGUGUGCGUGUGUGUGUGUGUGUGUGUGUGUGCGCCGGAUAUGAAGGUAUCUUGGGUCAAUGUCCAAUCUCUCUCUCUCUCUCUCUCUCUCUCUCUCUCUCUCUCUCUCUCUCUCUCUUUCAUCUUCCUUUACCCACACUUUCCCCUUCACGCUCACGGCCUUGGCAGCGUAAAUACAAGUAACCUUCAUAAAUAAACACAAUUGAGUGCUUUUAUAAAUACCUCAAGUUUCUAUUACCGAGUUAGCGCCGUGAAUAACCUACCUCCCACUCUGUCAUUGACCCACUAAUGCAAGACCCCGCGACACCUCGUUAUUAUAUAUGUCAGGUUAAAAAUGAAAGGUGAAUCACGUAAGAAAAUGAUAACCUGGAUUCUUUGUUAAGGUUCCAGUAAUGUUUGAGUGUUUGGUCUCUGUUGGGGUUGGUAAAGGUUCCAGUAAUGUUUGAGGGUUCGAUCCUUGUUGGGGUUGGUAAAGGUUCCAGUAAUGUUUGAGUGUUCGAUCCUUGUUGGGGUUGGUAAAGGUUCCAGUAAUGUUUGAGGGUUCGAUCUUUGUUGGGGUUGGUAAAGGUUCCAGUAAUGUUUGAGUGUUCGAUCUUUGUUGGGGUUGGUAAAGGUUCCAGUAAUGUUUGAGGGUUCGAUCUUUGUUGGGGUUGGUAAAGGUUCCAGUAAUGUUUGAGUGUUCGAUCUUUGUUGGGGUUGGUAAAGGUUCCAGUAAUGUUUGAGGGUUCGAUCUUUGUUGGGGUUGGUAAAGGUUCCAGUAAUGUUUGGGGUUCGAUCUUUGUUGGGGUUGGUAAAGGUUCCAGUAAUGUUUGAAUAUUCGAUUUUUGUUUAGUUUGGUAAAGGCUCCAGUAAGUUAAUUAAGUAAGUUAGUGUUUUUGGUUUACAAAGAGAAAGAUCGCCGAUUGAUAUAAGCAUAACCCGGUUUAAUAAAGGUCGUGUUUUGAGUUUGUUGUUCUUUGUGGUUAGUGAAAGCAAAGAUUAUGUCUGUGUAUACGUAAGGAUUAUUCAAUUUUAAAGGACGUAGAAAAAUAUUGAAGGAUGUGACUUAAGAUUCAUGUUUUUCCUGACGUAUAAAAUGACUCGGUGAAAGGCCUUAGCAAAAUGUUAUAGGUUAUGAUAUAAGUUGGUCGUUAUUCGUGGUUUAGAGAAUGCCAAGGUAAUAUAUUUCUACCCAAGGAGUAUUGAAUUUUACAAGAAUUACCAAAAUAGAAUGAUCAAUACGUGUACCGCGAAGGUCCCAUUAGAAAAUUAAUUAUAGAUACCGAAUAUAAUUUGUUUCUUGAGGUAUGGAAGUGUUUAGUGAGAUUUAAAUUGUUGACACGAAUUCAUGAUAGAUAUACACACGAAGAUAUAUACUUAGUCAAAAAACUAGAAUUUGUGUUAGAAAAUUCAUUAAGGAUACCGAAUUUAAUGAGCUUCUCGAGGUAUGAAAAUGUCUAGUGAGAUUUAAAUUGUUGACACGAGUUCAUGAUAGAUAUACACACGAAGAUAUAUAUUUAACGUCAAAAAACUAGAAUGUUGUGUUAGAAAAUUCAUUAAGGAUACCGAAUUUAAUGAGCUUCUCGAGGUAUGAAAAUGUCUAGUGAAGUUUAAAUCAUUGGCACGAGUUCAUGAUGGAUUUACACACGAAGAUGUAUACUUAACAUCGAAAAAUUAGAAUGUUGUGUUAGAAAAUUCAUUAAGGAUACCGAAUUUCAUGAGCUUCUCGAGGUAUGAAAAUGUCUAGUGAAGUUUAAAUCAUUGACACGAGUUCAUGAUGGAUCUACACACGGAGAUAUAUAGCUACUUAACAUCGCUUGGGUGAACAAAUAACACGAAAAAGUAGAAUGUUGUGUUUGGAAAUGUCAAGAAUGAGAAGCCUAACAGUUAGUACGUGGCUUAAACCUCGACUUGAGUAUAUUUAUUUAUUUAUUUUUUGUCUUAGGUAAUUGUUGAGGUUUGUAUAGGCCUGGAAGCGUGAUUUUCGUUAUUUCUUUUUUUUCUUUUUCUUUCAUAUAAUUUUCUUUCUUAUUGUUAUUGUUGUUAUUUAUCCUUAUUCCUCCUUUUCUUGUGCCUCCUCCUCCUCCUCCUCCUCUAGGCAUAUCCGUUUCCCUUUUAUUGAAUUAUGUUAAAGAAAAAAUAAAAGAUAAAUCGAAAACUAGCUCAUAGGUAAACACACACACACACACACACACACAGACGCACUUUCCACGGCCGUCCUUGAUCACGUGACACCGAUGUAAUGAUGAUGAUGAUGAUGAUGAAUUUUUUUUUUUUAAUGUGAGUCGAUGUUCUAUUUUUAUUUUCCUUGUUUUCUUUUUUGUUGUUGUUGUUUAUUUUAUCUUAUUUAUUUUAUUUAUUUUUCUUGUUGUUGUUGUUGUUGUUGUUGUUGUUGUCCUUCUUCUCCUUCUUCUUCUUUUUCUUCUUCUUCUUCUCUCCACUCCUCUUUCCUCCCUUCCCCCCUUCCCUCACCUUCCUUUUUUUUCUCUCCGUCUUUCCUCUUUCCUCCUCCUCCUCCUCCUCACCCCUCUUUCCUCCCUUCCCCUCCCUUUCCUUACCCUCCAUUUUAUCUCCCUCCUCCCCUCUUUCCUCCUCCUCCUCCUUCCUCAUCUUGUUUUCUCUCUCAUUAUAACCAAGCAAGCAACAAACAAACAAACGAACAAACCAAACAAGAGACAGAUUAAACAAAACUCACAAAGAAGGAAAACAAAUGAAAACAAGAAAACAAACAAAGAAAACAACAAAAACAACGCAUAGUAAACAAACUCCCGGACCACUGUAACACUUUUGGGGGGUCCUCCUCCUCUCCUCCUCCUCCUCCUCCUCCUCCUCCUCCUCUUCCUCACACCUGUUUGCUCGUCCUUGGUAGACAAAAAAAAAAAAAAACGUAACCGCGCAGAUUAUUACACAAGAAUGAUGACGAUGAUGAUGAUGAUGAUAAUGAUGAUGAUGAUGUUGGUGAUUAAGUAGACUAAGAGGUGAAUAUAUAAACAGAAGGCAAGAAGGAAUAGAGAAUGAAAAAAUAAUAAAUGAUAGAGAAGAAUAUUAAUAAGAGAGAACAGGAGGAGGAGGAGGAGGAGAAGAGGAGAAGGAGGAAUGUGGAGGAAGUGGAGGGAGGAGGAGAGGUAUAGAGAAAGAGAGGAGGAGGAGGAGGAGAUAAUAAUAAUAAUAAUAAUAAUAAUAAUACUGCUUUGAAACUCCAUUGGUAAUAUUAGGUAACGUUAGUUG
Molecule: long non-coding RNA, 3208 nt
Organism: Eriocheir sinensis (Chinese mitten crab)
Lineage: Eukaryota; Metazoa; Arthropoda; Malacostraca; Decapoda; Varunidae
Exons: 3
Source: RefSeq, a predicted model, not a curated record